UCUCGUAGUCCACGAAAGCCACGCACAGU
RNAcentral lists this small RNA (29 nucleotides) under Bombyx mori (domestic silkworm). RNAcentral's name for it is "ovarian small RNA-29783". The record is from RNAcentral. Lineage: Eukaryota; Metazoa; Arthropoda; Insecta; Lepidoptera; Bombycidae.